Molecule: ribosomal RNA, 402 nt
Filed under: uncultured bacterium
Lineage: Bacteria
Description: bacterial SSU rRNA
Rfam family: Bacterial small subunit ribosomal RNA
Source: RNAcentral
UGGGGAAUAUUGCACAAUGGGCGAAAGCCUGAUGCAGCAACGCCGCGUGGAGGGUGAAGGCCUUCGGGUUGUAAACUCUUGUCUUCUGGGACGAUAAUGACGGUACCAGAGGAGGAAGCCACGGCUAACUACGUGCCAGCAGCCGCGGUAAUACGUAGGUGGCAAGCGUUGUCCGGAUUUACUGGGCGUAAAGGAUGCGUAGGCGGAUAUUUAAGUGGGAUGUGAAAUACCCGGGCUCAACCUGGGUGCUGCAUUCCAAACUGGAUAUCUGGAGUGCGGGAGAGGAUAGUGGAAUUCCUAGUGUAGCGGUGAAAUGCGUAGAGAUUAGGAAGAACACCAGUGGCGAAGGCGACUUUCUGGACCGUAACUGACGCUGAGGCAUGAAAGCGUGGGGAGCAAACA